RNAcentral lists this ribosomal RNA (332 nucleotides) under Alcaligenes faecalis. Its description in RNAcentral is "bacterial SSU rRNA". It matches the Rfam family "Bacterial small subunit ribosomal RNA", at positions 1166 to 1498 of the family's 1533-position model. Lineage: Bacteria; Pseudomonadati; Pseudomonadota; Betaproteobacteria; Burkholderiales; Alcaligenaceae. The record is from RNAcentral.
GAGGAAGGUGGGGAUGACGUCAAGUCCUCAUGGCCCUUAUGGGUAGGGCUUCACACGUCAUACAAUGGUCGGGACAGAGGGUCGCCAACCCGCGAGGGGGAGCCAAUCUCAGAAACCCGAUCGUAGUCCGGAUCGCAGUCUGCAACUCGACUGCGUGAAGUCGGAAUCGCUAGUAAUCGCGGAUCAGAAUGUCGCGGUGAAUACGUUCCCGGGUCUUGUACACACCGCCCGUCACACCAUGGGAGUGGGUUUCACCAGAAGUAGGUAGCCUAACCGUAAGGAGGGCGCUUACCACGGUGGGAUUCAUGACUGGGGUGAAGUCGAACAAGAGC